Molecule: non-coding RNA, 1004 nt
Organism: Peromyscus maniculatus bairdii (prairie deer mouse)
Lineage: Eukaryota; Metazoa; Chordata; Mammalia; Rodentia; Cricetidae
Source: RefSeq, a predicted model, not a curated record
CCCACUGUCUCCCAAAAGCUCAGACUCAGUGUGAAAGCAAUGACCUUAGAAAGAGCUAGUGCACAGGAAUGUGUUAACGACGCUGAGGGCUUCCUUGCUGUUUCUGCCCUUGCCUAAUCUAGCCCUAGUACUGAAUUUUAUGCAGUGCAUUAUCAGCUCAAUAUUUGCAUAGGUCCUGCAAGGCCAAAGUAUAAACAAAAAAAUGUUUUGCAGCGACAUAGCUGGACCACUGUGGUUUUAUGCAAAAAAACCUGGCUGAUGUUCUACCUGUCCUCAGUGCUGAUUACUGCAGAAGUGUAAGCCCGCAACAGCGUACAUUUCAGGAAUCACACGCAUCAUCCUGCAUUUGGGUUUGUUUUCCCUUCAAAAGAAGUGUUGAGAUGAAGAAAGCCGAUUUACAUGAAAGAGUAAUAAGAAUACAUCCUGUUCUGCUCCUUUAUCUUUUUUUGCUUUUUGCUUCUUUCUCUGUCUCUCCCUCCCCCACUUUCAUAAACAAAACCUCAACAAGUAAAAACUCCAAGCAACAGGGCCUGGGGAGAUGGCCCCGUCUAUGAAGUGCUACGGACCAAGCAUGAGGACUGAGGGUACUCCCCCAGCACCUCGAAACCCUGCGCAUGGUGGUGUACGCCCUGGGAGGUGGAGUCCAGAGGAUCAUUGGCACUCACUGCUACUCAGUCUAGCCAAAAUGCCUUGAUAUCUAAUGCUGUAUUUGUGAGGCCACCAGUCAUCAAGCCAUGCAAGUGCUAAAUUCCUUUUGAAGCUUUCAAGAGGCUAACAAUGGCCUUUGCUAUCCCAACCAAGAGGAAGUGACCAGGAGUGUUCGCCACCAGAGUGAAGAGUUCAUUGUCUCCUCCAGAGUGUGUGUGUGCACGUGUGUGAGUGCGUGAGUGAGUGAGUGAGUGAGUGUGUGUGUGUGUGUGUGUGUGUGUGUGUGUAUUGAAAAUGCUUCUCAUCCGCAGAGAAUGCAAGUGUUUCUUCAAGAGCCAUUUAAUGAAGGUGAUAUU